RNAcentral lists this long non-coding RNA (1026 nucleotides) under Erythranthe guttata (spotted monkey flower). RNAcentral's name for it is "long non-coding RNA (EGUT_LNC001773)". The record is from RNAcentral. Lineage: Eukaryota; Viridiplantae; Streptophyta; Magnoliopsida; Lamiales; Phrymaceae.
UAAAAUUAGAUCGUACACAUAUCGUACUUCAUCGUACUCCAUCGUACUUCAUGUAAAAUUACUAUAUUACCAUUACACAAUUAAACUAGAGAAUUAAAAAAAUCAAUAAUAUAUUAAAACGUAAAAGCUGUUAAUCUUUUUCCUCAAAAGUCAAAUCUCAGCCCUAAUUACCAAUUAACAUUUCUUAUCCAAUACAAUCCUUCGAGAAAAUUACUGGUGGCCAAGAGUCUGGUUCAUCGUUUGCCCCGACUCUCAAUCUUCAUCGUUUCGAGAAAAUUCUUCGAGAACAUUACUGUAAGUGCUCAUCCCCGACUCUCAAUCUUCUCCGAUGGCCAAGAGACUGGUUCGGAUUGGUGGAUGAUAGAUGGAAUUAUUGGGUUAUUCAAUGCGGCUCGGGAUUCAUAACCGAUUGAAAAACGAUAUACAUUUAGAUUUCGUACUUUUUAUUGUGAAUCGUCUCUUGGAAUCACUACCGGAGAAAUCGAAGACUUCCGCAAAGGUAUCACUGAAAUUCUUGUUAAAUAUUUAUUUCUUUUGUUUUCACAGUAAAUUGCUUUCUUUGUAGAUUAAUGGAACUCUAAAAUGGUAAAAAUUAAUGCAAAAAGAUUCAGAGCUCUAUAUAGGUGGUUUUUUUUCUUGUUGAUAAAAAGUGUGCUUUCACAAUUUUAGACUUCAGGUUAUUUUAGUUAUUCUUGUUUGAAUUGAAAGUCUCGAACUGGAAUUUCGUAUCUGUAGUUGAUGUAUGCAUUUGGAAUUUCGUAGACUUUGUUUACUUUUGAGGAUUGGGACGAUUUCUAAGCUGGGGAUCUAGAGCUCGAUUUAUGGGGUAUAAUAUUCUUAUGACUAAUGAAUUGGAGUUCCUUUGAAACUCUAGUUUGAACUACAAUUUGAUCAAUUUCUGUUGUAUAUAGUAUUAAUGGAAUAUACUUUCAUUCAUUGUAUACAUUGUUUUCUCCAUAGAAAUAUACUAUUGACGGGCCGUAAAUUGAUCAUACACUGCCUAGGGGACAACAGAGUCUUGUAACA